GACGGGGAGCACCACAACGGGUGGAGCUUGCGGUUUAAUUGGAUUCAACGCCGGAAUCUUACCGGGACCGACAGCAAUAUGAAGGCCAGGCUGAAGACUUUGCCGGAUUAGCUGAGAGGUGGUGCAUGGCCGUCGUCAGUUCGUACUGUGAAGCAUCCUGUUAAGUCAGGCAACGAGCGAGACCCACGCCCACAGUUGCCAGCGCACUCACUGGAGUGACGGGUACACUGUGGGGACCGCGCUGCUAAAGCGGAGGAAGGAAUGGGCAACGGUAGGUCAGUAUGCCCCGAAUAUCCCGGGCUACACGCGAGCUACAAUGGUCAGGACAAUGGGUAUCGACACCGAGAGGUGGAGGCAAUCUCCUAAACCUGUCCUUAGUUCGGAUUGUGGGCUGCAACUCGCCCACAUGAAGCUGGAAUCCGUAGUAAUCGCGUUUCAAAAUAGCGCGGUGAAUAUGUCCCUGCUCCUU
RNAcentral lists this ribosomal RNA (469 nucleotides) under uncultured Methanosaeta sp. Its description in RNAcentral is "bacterial SSU rRNA". It matches the Rfam family "Archaeal small subunit ribosomal RNA", at positions 871 to 1337 of the family's 1478-position model. Lineage: Archaea; Methanobacteriati; Methanobacteriota; Methanomicrobia; Methanotrichales; Methanotrichaceae. The record is from RNAcentral.